UCUCUCAGUCUUUUAUAAUAGUCAGAUUCUGUCAUUUGGACCAUACAUGUAGUUAUGAGUUGACUCCACCCUCUAGCAAUUCUAUCCACACAAGUGCUAAACUCCUUCACUCUAGUCUCCAAAAUAACUGUAAAACUAAUAUGAAAUCUCCUCAAAUAUCUCCCUAGUUCUCUUUCUUUAGAAGCCCUGUUCAUGCCUCUAACAUUCCAUACUAGACUUUUCAUAGAGAAAUAUGGCUUCUCUCCCCCUCUGGGGGUCGACCAGAUACAUCCAGGCCCAAAGCUCUCCAAUGGUAAGUGGCGAGAAAUAAUUCUGAGUAAUUGUAGUCCUAUCAAUAGCUUUAUGAUACAUAUUGCAUAAGUAAGACUACCAGCCAUCCUUGUGCCUGCUACCUGAAUGAAUUCAUUAUCAUUAUUCUUAGGAGUGAUUUGUACCAUUUGAGUAUAUUGAGUUCCAUCCUGCAACUAAAUUUUCUUCUCCCCUCUCAUUGUAGUAACCUUAGGAUCUAUAACAGCCUUUUUUUCUUGAGGUACCCACUUAGGAAUCAAUUUCUUUGGCUCUUGUGGUUUCUCUCGCUUCUGGUAGGCUUGAUCAUGGUGUUGUUGUUGCCUAGUUGGAUGAGCAGCCUCCUUUUUACAAUCAUGUCUUACUUGCAUACAAUCGUGGCAAUAUAGUGGUCGCCAAUCAUACUCAAUUUGUUGUAAGAAACUUUUCCCUGAUGGCUCAUAUACUUCAACCUCAUCUACCAUCCCCGGUGAGACAUCUAUUUUCCACCAGUACCCUUGCAAAUGAUACCCUUGUCUAUUUUUUAGUACAUUCAUUGGCAAAUAUAGGUCAUCCCAAUCUACUCGCAAUCUUGCUCAAUACAGAUCGUCCCCAACAAUUUCGUGGGAGAUUUGGGAGUCUUACCCAAAGAGGCAUGGUGCGUGGAAAUCUUAUUGAAAAUCAAAAUUAAGCGUCCAUUCCUUCAAAAUUUAGGGUUUGUUAUUCAGUGUAUAAGGUCCACCAUACAGUAUCUCAUUCUUAUCAUCCUAGCACUGAAAUCUAGCUAUGUACCACCCAUCGUCAUGAAGAAAAAGCUCAGGGGCUGUAACUUUGUUCCAUAUGCGUGCUAUGUAGCUGGUCAUAUAAGCAUAACUAGGCUUUGCCCCCAUUAUAAAGAGAACCAAAGCAUUUUCCCAUAUUUUUGUUUGUUGAGCUAUCUCAUUUUUCUUAAUUUGAACCACUGGUUUCCCAUCUACUACUAUCGGAAUGAUAAAAUCAAGUGACAUACUAUUCGUCACCGAACGAUUGUUCAUGAACAGUCCAAACCAUUCUUUAUUUCCCCCUCCGCAGGCUCUGUUUCCUUCCCCAAAUCCAGAUUCCGUCUAGCAUUAGUGAUAACUUCUCCUUCCAUAAACCGGUGUUUUACCCUUAUUAAUUCCUAGCACACUCACUUGGAUCUCAUUCCCCUCCUGCUCCUUCGUAAUCGUCGUCUCUUCUUCUUAUAGGGCUUUUUUCACCCAAAGAUUGAUACAAUAACCUCCAGAACUUGAUUCGCCAGAUUUUUCUUUACUACCUCUGAGUUACGUGGUCUUCCUCACCCUCAUUUAGCCAUGGAAACCCUUUCGGGCGCACAUUAGUAGAGAGGCGCUAAGCGUGCACCGAGAGAGGUAUUAAGUCGAUAAGCCCUUGCUAUGUUUUCAGUAAGAUUGUUGUUGCAGUCUAAUAGCUCUUUUACUUACGUGUUAUUUAAUUAUUAAAGACUCCACCAAUAAGUAUUUUGUGAAACGGUCAAAUUAUUUUUAAUGAUGCGUGUACUAUUAUUUUUUCUUUUUAACCAUUUUUUUGUUUGAACCUUAAGUAGCCAUGUUUAACUAAAUACAUAAAUUUAGUCCAUUGCAUUCAUGAAUCAAAAUGAUCUAUUCUCUGCUCAUUUUUCUAGCUCAAAAAUAUUUAUUUUAAAUAAUAUUACUUCAGAAAUUCAAUAUUAAAUGCUGAUAACUAGUUUUAAUUAUAUAUUGUUAAUAUUAAAGAAAUAUUUUUUAAUAUUUAAAAAACAUCUAAUUACUAAAAAAAAUAUUAUAAAUUAUGUGUUGUAUUUAAUAAUUUUUAAUAAUUUAAAAUAAUAUUAAAUUAAAAUGAGGUAACAAAUAAAUUGAAAUUGAACAUCACUUUAUAUUUUUAUUAUGAACUAUAGAAGAAAACUGUUUAGAUCCACUAUAAGUAGGUAGAUAUGUAGCAAAAUUCAGUCACAUCAAUAUUACAUUUCUGAAUGUUUGCCUCUUCAUGCUUUUAAUUACUUCGAUCGGAACUCGCCUCGUAAAUUUUAAUAAAAGACUUUAAAAUAUACAAAUAUACACAAGAAAAUAAUAACUUAGAGUUAUAUUUUUUAUUUUCAUAUGCUUGUUGUUUUGAAUGUAAAUGACAUAAAUAAAACUAAAGAUUAAUUGUACUUAAUAAAAUGUCAUUAGUGUGUUUGCAUUAUAUUAUCUUCGAUAUAAUUAUAAAAAAUAUAUUUAUUAAUAUAAAGACUUGAGUUAUUUAAUUCAAAGUUCUAAAAUAUUUUAGUAGCUCACCCAUGAGCCACCCCUAACAAUUCUCUAUCUUUCUUCUAUGACAUAUUCAGUUAUAGCUUAAAGUAAAUUCUUGAAUCUCAAUCUCUCCCCAAGAGGAA
Molecule: long non-coding RNA, 2656 nt
Filed under: Capsicum annuum
Lineage: Eukaryota; Viridiplantae; Streptophyta; Magnoliopsida; Solanales; Solanaceae
Description: long non-coding RNA (CANN_LNC004120)
Source: RNAcentral